This 117-nucleotide non-coding RNA is filed under the name Pan paniscus (pygmy chimpanzee). Lineage: Eukaryota; Metazoa; Chordata; Mammalia; Primates; Hominidae. RNAcentral also lists the same sequence under 1 other name. The record is from Rfam by way of RNAcentral.
GCUGGGCGUGGUGGCUCAUGCCUGUAAUCCCAGCACCUUGGGAGGCCGAGGUGGGUGGAUCACCUGAGGUCAGGAGUUCGAGACCAGCCUGGCCAACAUGGUGAAACCCCGUCUCUA